UGGUCAUAUCACUUUGCAACACCCAUUUCCGAACGGUCACUGAAGUUAAGCAACGUUGAACCGGGUCAGUACCUAGAUGGGUGACCGCUUGGGAAUGCUUGGA
Molecule: non-coding RNA, 103 nt
Organism: Acanthosepion pharaonis
Lineage: Eukaryota; Metazoa; Mollusca; Cephalopoda; Sepiida; Sepiidae
Source: the annotation of a GenBank genome assembly